RNAcentral lists this long non-coding RNA (258 nucleotides) under Ananas comosus (pineapple). RNAcentral's name for it is "long non-coding RNA (ACOM_LNC003187)". Lineage: Eukaryota; Viridiplantae; Streptophyta; Magnoliopsida; Poales; Bromeliaceae. The record is from RNAcentral.
UGGAUGCACCCCGCUUCUCCCAGUAAGUGUAUAUUAUGCAAGUAAUCGUGCAAAAUAAGUAUGCUGUACUUUUUAAUCGUGUAAUUGUGUGAACUAUAGUGUAAUAUUGUGCUAAGUUAUAGUGUAAUCGUGCAAAAUAAGUUGUUGUAUGCUUCAAUCGUGUAAUUGUCUGAACUAUAGUGUAAUAUUGUGUUGAUUAGUAGUGUAAUAUUAUCUUUGCAAUCAGGUGUGGAUAUACAAGCACACUGGGUACAGAUG